This 919-nucleotide ribosomal RNA is filed under the name Escherichia coli. Its description in RNAcentral is "partial 23S ribosomal RNA". It matches the Rfam family "Bacterial large subunit ribosomal RNA", at positions 375 to 1298 of the family's 2925-position model. Lineage: Bacteria; Pseudomonadati; Pseudomonadota; Gammaproteobacteria; Enterobacterales; Enterobacteriaceae. The record is from RNAcentral.
GUACACAAAAAUGCACAUACUGUGAGCUCGAUGAGUAGGGCGGGACACGUGGUAUCCUGUCUGAAUAUGGGGGGACCAUCCUCCAAGGCUAAAUACUCCUGACUGACCGAUAGUGAACCAGUACCGUGAGGGAAAGGCGAAAAGAACCCCGGCGAGGGGAGUGAAAAAGAACCUGAAACCGUGUACGUACAAGCAGUGGGAGCCUCUUAAUGGGGUGACUGCGUACCUUUUGUAUAAUGGGUCAGCGACUUAUAUUCUGUAGCAAGGUUAACCGAAUAGGGGAGCCGAAGGGAAACCGAGUCUUAACUGGGCGUUAAGUUGCAGGGUAUAGACCCGAAACCCGGUGAUCUAGCCAUGGGCAGGUUGAAGGUUGGGUAACACUAACUGGAGGACCGAACCGACUAAUGUUGAAAAAUUAGCGGAUGACUUGUGGCUGGGGGUGAAAGGCCAAUCAAACCGGGAGAUAGCUGGUUCUCCCCGAAAGCUAUUUAGGUAGCGCCUCGUGAAUUCAUCUCCGGGGGUAGAGCACUGUUUCGGCAAGGGGGUCAUCCCGACUUACCAACCCGAUGCAAACUGCGAAUACCGGAGAAUGUUAUCACGGGAGACACACGGCGGGUGCUAACGUCCGUCGUGAAGAGGGAAACAACCCAGACCGCCAGCUAAGGUCCCAAAGUCAUGGUUAAGUGGGAAACGAUGUGGGAAGGCCCAGACAGCCAGGAUGUUGGCUUAGAAGCAGCCAUCAUUUAAAGAAAGCGUAAUAGCUCACUGGUCGAGUCGGCCUGCGCGGAAGAUGUAACGGGGCUAAACCAUGCACCGAAGCUGCGGCAGCGACACUAUGUGUUGUUGGGUAGGGGAGCGUUCUGUAAGCCUGUGAAGGUGUACUGUGAGGUAUGCUGGAGGUAUCAGAAGUGCGAAUGCU